UCAAAUUUAACUUCUUAUCUUUUACUGCAUCCACCAUUCUUUCAUUAUCUGCCCUUCAUGCGGAUCUUAACAAUCAUUUUUGUCUACUUGAAAAAUGUUCAUAUUUAUGGUCCACUGGCUAGGAGCUGUCAAAGCAGUUGAAGAGUUCAAGCUUCUAUCUAUGGAGACAAUGAUGAUGAGGAAAGUGCCAUUGGCAAUGGAAAAGCAAAUGAUGCCGCCAAAAAAAAUAAAUAAACCAUUUGCUGAAAAUGCAGCUAAGGAGUCUGCAAACUACAACUGGCCAGAUCUUACUGAUAAUGGACAUGAUACUGGUGUUUCACCUCUGUAUAGAGCAGUGAAGGGAUUGAAGUUGCUAGGAACCAAGUCAGCCUCAAUUGUUCCUUGAAAACCCUGAAGAUUUUGGAAGACUCUACUGUAUAGACUAGAGCACAAAAGAGCUAACAUUAGAGCUGUGAAGCAUUGGUGUGGGCAGAUCUUGAGAGGGAUUCCUUACUUCCAUAGCCAUGACUAUGAUCCAAAGAGAUCUGAAGUGUCAUGUUUUUGUGAAUGGGAACCAAGGAGAAGUGAAGAUUGGAGAUCUUGGCCUUGCUGCACUUCUUGCAUAAAAAUAUAUCUUUUUUUCCCAUCCUCUCUUCAUGGAGAUCUUUCUACUACUGAUCUUUUUUGUAUGUCAUUUCUCACCUAUUUGUGAUCAGUGAUUCGCUUAAUGAUGAUUGUGAAUCCCCCGCAGCGAAUCGCGGGGAAAGCCAACUAGUUAGAUUCCAUACUUUGUUGGUUGUUUGUGGAAGGUAUAAUUAAUAUAUUUAGGAUUCCUUGCA
This is a long non-coding RNA of Populus nigra (black poplar), 818 nucleotides long. RefSeq lists it as uncharacterized. The transcript has 3 exons. NCBI's taxonomy places the organism in Eukaryota, Viridiplantae, Streptophyta, Magnoliopsida, Malpighiales, Salicaceae. The record is from RefSeq and is a predicted model, not a curated record.